UACGUAGGGAGCAAGCGUUGUCCGGAUUCACUGGGUGUAAAGGGUGCGCAGGCGGGAGAGUAAGUCAGAGGUGAAAUCUCACAGCUUAACUGUGAAACUGCCUUUGAUACUGCUUUUCUUGAGUUCGGGAGAGGUUGAUGGAAUUCCAGGUGUAGCGGUGAAAUGCGUAGAUAUUUGGAAGAACACCAGUGGCGAAGGCGGUCAACUGGCCCGUAACUGACGCUCAGGCACGAAAGCGUGGGUAGCGAACAGG
This 253-nucleotide ribosomal RNA is filed under the name uncultured bacterium. RNAcentral describes it as "partial 16S ribosomal RNA". It matches the Rfam family "Bacterial small subunit ribosomal RNA", at positions 524 to 776 of the family's 1533-position model. The record is from RNAcentral.